AUAUCACUUUCUGCCUUUUGACUAAGAUCAAGGAUGGUAUUUGUUCUUAUUAGUUUCUCAUUUCACACCUUAUCUAAGAACAAUACAUCAAAUGGGUUUUCAGAGCAGAGAAAUGAAAUGGGAACUUGCUCCAUCAACUCCACACAGAAGCCUGGUGGGCAGCAACUACAGUAAUGGUUCACCAACU
Perognathus longimembris pacificus (Pacific pocket mouse) is the source of this 187-nucleotide small nuclear RNA. RefSeq annotates it as U2 spliceosomal RNA. Lineage: Eukaryota; Metazoa; Chordata; Mammalia; Rodentia; Heteromyidae. The record is from RefSeq and is a predicted model, not a curated record. The transcript has a single exon.